UACGGAGGGUGCGAGCGUUGUCCGGAAUCACUGGGCGUAAAGGGCGCGUAGGCGGCCUGAUAAGUAGGGGGUGAAAUCCUGAGGCUUAACCUCAGGGCUGCCUUCUAAACUGUCAGGCUCGAGCACAGUAGAGGCAGGUGGAAUUCCCGGUGUAGCGGUGGAAUGCGUAGAGAUCGGGAAGAACAUCAGUGGCGAAGGCGGCCUGCUGGGCUGUUGCUGACGCUGAGGCGCGACAGCGUGGGGGGCAAACAGG
RNAcentral lists this ribosomal RNA (253 nucleotides) under uncultured bacterium. RNAcentral describes it as "partial 16S ribosomal RNA". It matches the Rfam family "Bacterial small subunit ribosomal RNA", at positions 524 to 776 of the family's 1533-position model. The record is from RNAcentral.